RNAcentral lists this ribosomal RNA (469 nucleotides) under uncultured bacterium. RNAcentral's name for it is "bacterial SSU rRNA". It matches the Rfam family "Bacterial small subunit ribosomal RNA", at positions 28 to 507 of the family's 1533-position model. The record is from RNAcentral.
GAUGAACGCUAGCUACAGGCUUAACACAUGCAAGUCGAGGGCAGCAUGAACUUAGCUUGCUAAGUUUGAUGGCGACCGGCGCACGGGUGAGUAACACGUAUCCAACCUUCCGUUUACUCAGGGAUAGCCUUGCGAAAGGAAGUUUAAUACCCGAUGAAUUCGUUUAGUCGCAUGGCUUGAUGAAGAAAGAUUUAUCAGUAAAGGAUGGGGAUGCGUCCCAUUAGCUUGUUGGCGGGGUAACGGCCCACCAAAGCGACGAUGGGUAGGGGUUCUGAGAGGAAGGUCCCCCACAUUGGAACUGAGACACGGUCCAAACUCCUACGGGAGGCAGCAGUGGGGAAUAUUGCACAAUGGGGGAAACCCUGAUGCAGCGACGCCGCGUGGAGGAAGAAGGUCUUCGGAUUGUAAACUCCUGUUGUUGAGGAAGAUAAUGACGGUACUCAACAAGGAAGUGACGGCUAACUACGUG